This 520-nucleotide ribosomal RNA is filed under the name uncultured organism. RNAcentral's name for it is "SSU rRNA". It matches the Rfam family "Bacterial small subunit ribosomal RNA", at positions 1 to 509 of the family's 1533-position model. The record is from RNAcentral.
AGCUAGUAGUUGAUCCGUGGCUCGAGGACGAACGCUGGCGGCGUGCCUAACACAUGCAAGUCGAGCGGGGACAUACGACGGACAGGAAGUUUUCGGAUGGAAUGGAAGAUGUAUGUUCUAGCGGCGGACGGGUGAGUAACGCGUGAGCAACCUGUCCCUUACAGGGGGAUAACACAGCGAAAGCUGUACUAAUACCGCAUAAGACCACAGAGAGACAUCUCACAGGGGUCAAAGGAGCAAUCCGGUAAGGGGUGGGCUCGCGUCCGAUUAGAUAGUUGGUGAGGUAACGGCCCACCAAGUCAACGAUCGGUAGCCGACCUGAGAGGGUGAUCGGCCACAUUGGGACUGAGACACGGCCCAAACUCCUACGGGAGGCAGCAGUGGGGAAUAUUGGGCAAUGGGGGGAACCCUGACCCAGCAACGCCGCGUGAGGGAAGAAGGUUUUCGGAUUGUAAACCUCUGUCCUUCAAGACGAGAAGAAGACGGUAAUGAAGGAGGAAGCCCCGGCUAACUACGUGCC